CCUACGGGAGGCAGCAGUGAGGAAUAUUGGUCAAUGGGCGUAAGCCUGAACCAGCCAAGUCGCGUGAGGGAUGAAGGUUCUAUGGAUCGUAAACCUCUUUUAUAAGGGAAUAAAGUGCGGGACGUGUCCCGUUUUGUAUGUACCUUAUGAAUAAGGAUCGGCUAACUCCGUGCCAGCAGCCGCGGUAAUACGGAGGAUCCGAGCGUUAUCCGGAUUUAUUGGGUUUAAAGGGUGCGUAGGCGGCCUUUUAAGGCAGCGGUGAAAGUCCGUGGGUCAACCAUAGAAUUGGCGUUGAAACUGGGAGGGCUGAGGAUGUUUGGGGGAGGCGGAAUGCGGGGGG
This 340-nucleotide ribosomal RNA is filed under the name uncultured bacterium. Its description in RNAcentral is "partial 16S ribosomal RNA". It matches the Rfam family "Bacterial small subunit ribosomal RNA", at positions 338 to 675 of the family's 1533-position model. The record is from RNAcentral.